This 81-nucleotide small RNA is filed under the name Pluralibacter gergoviae. RNAcentral describes it as "Enterobacter gergoviae sroB RNA". It matches the Rfam family "sroB RNA". The record is from Rfam by way of RNAcentral. Lineage: Bacteria; Pseudomonadati; Pseudomonadota; Gammaproteobacteria; Enterobacterales; Enterobacteriaceae.
GGGAUCCCGACAUAAGCCGGGAAUAAUAAUAACGAUGAAAUUCCUCUUUGACGGGCCAAUAGCGAUAUUGGCCAUUUUUUU